CGUCCUCACGCGCGCGUGCCCGCUCCCCGCGCAACGCGUCCUAGGACUGGCUGCGCCAGAGACGCCGCCUGUGGGUGGUGGCUGUAGAGAGGAGUGGGUGCUGUCUGGGGACUUCCUGCAGGCGUCUGCAUUAAACAAUAAGCGGCCGUCACCUAUGUGCGUAUUUCUGUGUAAUCCGCCACAUGCCUCAGAGAUCUGGACGUUUUGAGAUUAAACAUAUUUUGGCUUCGGGAACCUGCCCUCGGAGGAGAGGCCUGACGUUGGUGGUUGCCCUAGGCCGGCCCCAGCUAGUCCCGUGGGGUCCUGGGCGCCUCCCCUCUGGAGGCAGGCCACCCCCCUGGUCCGCUUCGCGCUCGUCUCCUGGGACCUGAGUUGGAGGAGCCACGUCUGCAAGGGGCUUGGGCGUCUCUAGAAGAGCGGGGCGGAGCGAGAGCUUUCGGGUUUGGCGAGCUUAAGCCCUGACAGAGUUGUGGCUGGGCGGUGAAGUUUUAAGUGAACUGGGUUUUCGUUACGAUCCUAAAGUUGCACUGUGUGAACUAGGCUCUGCCAAAAUCCGAGCAGAGAAGCAAAGAAGUCGGAAAGAGAUUUGGCGGUGGAAGUGGGAGAUUUAAAAACGGUCUUGUAUGAGUUCAGGAGCCUACGAAGUCCAGCAUCAAGGUUCUGGCAGAUUUGGUGUCUGGCCUGACUUUGAAACUGUGUGAGGAGCUGCCAGAUUCUGUCAUCACUUGGAUUGUGCCCAAUAAACAUCUCUCAGCUGACCAACAAAUAUCUCCUUGGUUCAUGGAUGGUAGUUGUAAAGUAAAUGGACAACAUUCUGUUUGGAAAACCACCACUCUGAUCUGGAAGAUAAAAAUCAGCUAGGUGGGCUGAUUUGUUUACUGUUUUCUUAGCAGUGGUGGAAGAAUUAAACACUGAAUGAUAACAAUCUCUGUAUUUCAUUUUUUACCAACUAAUGGAUGAUGGCCAAUGAAAACCUGAUACUCUGGAUCCUAUUAAAAUCCUCUGAAGAAUAUUGAUUUUUAUUGUUGUCUUCAGCAGUCAGUUAUCUUGGUUGGAUUGAGACUGCAAAGUCUAUUUUGACUUUUUUUCCCUUAUGGAUUCUAAUGUUAGGACAGUUUCCAAGGCCUAUGCAGUGUUCUUUUAGAUCUGUCCUACAUUUGUACUACUCAGGGGCUAGUCUUGGAAUUGUGCUUUGCUUUAUAUUGCCAUUCAGUUCUCAAGGAAUUUACUAUGCUGCUUUGGGGUGUUCUGUGUAUGUGUACUUCAGAAGUGAGCUCUGGAUAUAUUCUGAUUUGUGCACAGAACUAAGAGAACCCUUCUCCAGCUCUCUCCUCUGUGAGAUUCUCUUCAGCCUCCUGCCUCUGUCCUACAGCUGGAAUGAUGGGUUUUAUUCUCUAGGGGUUUUACUUGCCCGUGCCACAGCAAGAGGGAAAAAUGGGGAUUUCUUCCCCACAACUCUUUAAAAUCCAGGGACCCAUUUUCUGUUUCUCUGUCUAUAAAGACAGGGUUGUUUUUUUUAUGAGUUGUAGCUGCCACAGCCUCGCUGGGCACCCACACGCCUGUAAAAUUCUCUCUCCAACCACCCCCAUUCCCGACACACACACACACACACACACACACACACACACACACACACACGUGAAGCUCUCUCUCAUAUGGACCCCUCUUCCAAUUUGAUUCUUGUCCCCAAUACUGCUCUUGUUUACCUUUUCAGAAUGCUCAGGUAGUGGCUUUUGUGUUUCACCCAGAGUGUUUAGUUAUAAUCAGCAGUGGAGACAGGUGUUAGUGGACUAUUCCUUGGCUGGCACUGGAAUCUCUGAAUACUUAUUUCUUAAAUUAGCUAUUUAAUAUCUGUCUCUUCUACUAUACUCAAUGUCAAUAAGGACUAUUUUGGUUUUAUUACUGUAUCCCCAUGACUAGUACAGUUCUUAGCAUAAACUAAGAACUCAAUAAAUAUUUAUUGAACAUAUGAAUGAAUGGACACUUUUCAGAUCUCAUCUUACUUGAUGUUUUUGUAGCAUUCUACACUAUGGAUUGUUUUCACCUGGAAUCUUUUUUUCCCUAGGCUCCCAUAUUAUUAAAGUCUACUGGUUUCCCCAUUUGUCUAGCCUUCCUUUGUAGGUAAGUUGCUAUUUCUUUAUGAACCUUGCAGCUUUAGAAAUUACUUUUGAAAAGGGGGCACCUACAUAGUCUGCUCAUAUAGGCACACAUAAAUUCUUACUAAUAAAUUCUCAGUCACCAUUUCAUCAUUUUAGAACCAAACAGAUAUUUGUUAACUGCAUAGUGGCCCUCCUUUGCUAUCUAUCUUAUUUCUGUUACUAGGCCCCAUAUAACUCUUUUUUCCCCUGCUUAUCUAGUUUAUUUCCUACACAAUUCUUGCUAGAGUAUAAUUUUCUAAAAUUUAAAAACAUGACUCUUGGGGUGCC
This is a long non-coding RNA of Lynx canadensis (Canada lynx), 2426 nucleotides long. RefSeq lists it as uncharacterized. NCBI's taxonomy places the organism in Eukaryota, Metazoa, Chordata, Mammalia, Carnivora, Felidae. The transcript is spliced from 3 exons. The record is from RefSeq and is a predicted model, not a curated record.